ACCACCCCUUGUCUAGAAAUGUAGAAGUCUUCGGGGAAAAGUCGGUUCCCUCAAGGGGAUUCGAACAGGUGCUGCAUGGCUGUCGUCAGCUCGUGUCGUGAGAUGUUGGGUUAAGUCCCGCAACGAGCGCAACCCUUGUCCUCCAGGCCAUCAGGGUAAAGCCGGUCACUUUGGGGGAAUGCCGGGUGUAAACCGGAGGAAAGUUGGGAUGAAGUCAAGUUCCCAUGGCCCUUUUGUCCAGGGCCACACCCCUGGUACCAAGGGCGGUGCAAAGGGGCACCAACUCGGGGGCCUGAACCUAAUCCUCAAAAGCCGUCUCAGUUCGGAUUGCAGUCUGCAACUCGCCUGCAUGAAGGUGGAAUCGCUAGUAAUC
Molecule: ribosomal RNA, 373 nt
Filed under: uncultured bacterium
Lineage: Bacteria
Description: bacterial SSU rRNA
Rfam family: Bacterial small subunit ribosomal RNA
Source: RNAcentral